GACGAACGCUGGCGGCGCGCCUAACACAUGCAAGUCGAGCGAGCGAGAGAGAGCUUGCUUUCUCAAGCGAGUGGCGAACGGGUGAGUAACGCGUGAGGAACCUGCCUCAAAGAGGGGGACAACAGUUGGAAACGACUGCUAAUACCGCAUAAGCCCACGACCCGGCAUCGGGUAGAGGGAAAAGGAGCAAUCCGCUUUGAGAUGGCCUCGCGUCCGAUUAGCUAGUUGGUGAGGUAACGGCCCACCAAGGCGACGAUCGGUAGCCGGACUGAGAGGUUGAACGGCCACAUUGGGACUGAGACACGGCCCAGACUCCUACGGGAGGCAGCAGUGGGGAAUAUUGCACAAUGGGGGAAACCCUGAUGCAGCGACGCCGCGUGGAGGAAGAAGGUCUUCGGAUUGUAAACUCCUGUUGUUGAGGAAGAUAAUGACGGUACUCAACAAGGAAGUGACGGCUAACUACGUG
Molecule: ribosomal RNA, 466 nt
Filed under: uncultured bacterium
Lineage: Bacteria
Description: partial 16S ribosomal RNA
Rfam family: Bacterial small subunit ribosomal RNA
Source: RNAcentral